UCAAGCGAACAAGAGCACAGAGUGAAUGCCUUGGCACUGGGAGCCGAUGAAGGACGCGGUAAGCUGCGAAAAGCCUCGGGGAGCUGCAAACGAGCUUUGAUCCGGGGAUGUCCGAAUGGAGCAAUCCGGCAGGUUAACAGCCUGUCACCGUACACUGAAUUCAUAGGUGUGCGGAGGGAACCGCCUGAACUGAAACAUCUAAGUAGGGCGAGGAAGAGAAAUCAACAGAGAUUCCGCCAGUAGUGGCGAGCGAACGCGGAACAGGCCAAACCGGAGAUCGCAAGAUCUUCGGGGUUGCGGACUGCAUUUAGCAUUGACGAUGUCUACCUGAACUGUAUGGGAAGGCAGACCGGAGCGGGUGAGAGUCCCGUAAGGAAAAGGCAGCGUCAGCGAGCAGGAUCCAGAGUACCGCCGGACACGUGAAACCCGGUGGGAAGCAGGGGGGACCACCCUCCAAGCCUAAAUACUACCCAGUGACCGAUAGCGCAUAGUACUGUGAAGGAACGGUGAAAAGCACCCCGGGAGGGGAGUGAAACAGAACCUGAAACUCUGUGUUUACAAGCACCGAAAGGACGUCAAGGUCCGAUCGGGUACUUUUUGUAGAACGGUCCGGCGAGCGUAUGUAACGAGCGAGGUUAAGGACUUCAGGUCUGAAGCCGAAGCGAGAGCGAGUCUGAACAGGGCGCACAGUUCGUUGCAUAGGGCCCGAAACCGGGUGACCUAUCCAUGUCCAGGUUGAAGUGGAGGUAAAACUCCAUGGAGGACCGAACCGACCUCCGUUGAAAAGGCGGCGGAUGAGGUGUGGAUAGCGGAGAAAUUCCAAUCGAACCCGGAUAUAGCUGGUUCUCCCCGAAAUAGCUUUAGGGCUAGCCUUGAAUAUAUUUGCCGGAGGUAAAGCACUGACUGGACGAGGGGUCGAGAGACUACCAACUCCUAUCAAACUCAGAAUGCCGGACAAAUGAGUUCAGGAGUCAGACUGUGUGAGAUAAGUCUCACGGUCAAAAGGGAAACAGCCCAGACCUACAGCUAAGGUCCCAAAUAUAUGCUAAGUGGAGAAGGAUGUGACAAUGCUAAGACAACUAGGAUGUUGGCUUAGAAGCAGCCACUCAUUCAAAGAGUGCGUAAUAGCUCACUAGUCGAGUGAUGUUGCGCCGAAGAUUUAACGGGGCUAAGCAUAUAACCGAAGCUUAGGCAGUGCGUAAGUACUGGGUAGGGGAGCGUUCUGUGCGGGGUGAAGUCGUACCGGAAGGAGCGGUGGACUGCACAGAAGUGAGAAUGCCGGAAUGAGUAGCGAGAAUUGCGUGAGAAUCGUAAUGGCCGAAAAUCUAAGGUUUCCUGGGGUAGGUUCGUCCGCCCAGGGUAAGCCGGGGGCUAAGGCGAGGCCGAGAGGCGUAGUCGAUGCACAUACGGUAGAGAUUCCGUAGCCUCCACAAUUUAAGUACACGGACACACUUAUGAAGUGCUGACCGGGCGUUGGUUGACCCGGAACGAAAGCGACUGAAAUAUAGUAAGGAAGAUGCAUGACAGGGUGGCGAGAAAAGGUGUAUGUAUAGAAGUGGAGCCCGUACCGCAAACCGACACAGGUAGAUGAGGAGAGAAUCCUAAGGCCAUCGGGAGAAGGGUUGUUAAGGAACUCGGCAUAUUGACCCCGUAACUUCGGGAGAAGGGGUGCCUGCGCAAGCAGGCCGCAGUGAAAAGGCCCAGGCAACUGUUUACCAAAAACACAGGUCUCUGCAAAAGCGUAAGCUGAAGUAUAGGGGCUGACGCCUGCCCGGUGCCGGAAGGUCAAGGGGAUUGCUUAGCGCAAGCGAAGGCAAGAACUUAAGCCCCGGUAAACGGCGGCCGUAACUAUAACGGUCCUAAGGUAGCGAAAUUCCUUGUCAGGUAAGUUCUGACCCGC
RNAcentral lists this ribosomal RNA (1900 nucleotides) under human gut metagenome. RNAcentral's name for it is "bacterial LSU rRNA". It matches the Rfam family "Bacterial large subunit ribosomal RNA", at positions 3 to 1991 of the family's 2925-position model. The record is from RNAcentral.